Molecule: ribosomal RNA, 458 nt
Filed under: Ophiotaenia gallardi
Lineage: Eukaryota; Metazoa; Platyhelminthes; Cestoda; Proteocephalidea; Proteocephalidae
Description: bacterial SSU rRNA
Rfam family: Eukaryotic small subunit ribosomal RNA
Source: RNAcentral
CCAGCAGCCGCGGUAACUCCAGCUCCAAUAGGGUGUAUUAAAGUUGUUGUAGUUAAAAAGAUCGUGGUUGGGUCUCGGUACCACUGUUGCUCGUCAGUCCUUCGGCAGGUGAUUAUGCGCGCAUAGGUCGUAUUGUGUGGCCUGCGCUGUUGCUAUGGCUGCUCUGCCCGAGUUGGCAGUGUCGCCUUUCAGCCAUGUUUGUGGUGAAAUAACCUCAAAUGCAGGCGAGUGUCGGAUCGUGCCCAGCAUUAGUUGAGUCCGUCGGCUCGUCUGCAUGCCUUUAGAUGCCCUUCAAAAGGUGUCUGUGGACGGAUGGCACGUUCACUUUGAACAAAUUUGAGUUCUCAAACCAGGUCGAUGUUGCCUGAAAAUUUUUGCGUGGAAUUAUGGAAUAAGACUUUGGUUCUAUUUCGUUGGAUUUCGGAUCCGAAGUAAUGAUCAAAAGAGACAGGCGGGGG